CUGAGUACUACACUCUCUACCCUUUGUGAACUAUUAUACCUGUUGCUUCGGCGGCGCCCGCGAGGGGUGCCCGCCGGUCUCAUCAGAAUCUCUGUUUUCGAACCCGACGAUACUUCUGUGUGUUCUUAGCGAACUGUCAA
This 140-nucleotide unclassified non-coding RNA is filed under the name soil metagenome. RNAcentral's name for it is "partial internal transcribed spacer 1". The record is from RNAcentral.